This 1330-nucleotide ribosomal RNA is filed under the name Bacillus subtilis. Its description in RNAcentral is "bacterial SSU rRNA". It matches the Rfam family "Bacterial small subunit ribosomal RNA", at positions 52 to 1385 of the family's 1533-position model. Lineage: Bacteria; Bacillati; Bacillota; Bacilli; Caryophanales; Bacillaceae. The record is from RNAcentral.
UACAUGCAAGUCGAGCGGACAGAUGGGAGCUUGCUCCCUGAUGUUAGCGGCGGACGGGUGAGUAACACGUGGGUAACCUGCCUGUAAGACUGGGAUAACUCCGGGAAACCGGGGCUAAUACCGGAUGCUUGUUUGAACCGCAUGGUUCAAACAUAAAAGGUGGCUUCGGCUACCACUUACAGAUGGACCCGCGGCGCAUUAGCUAGUUGGUGAGGUAAUGGCUCACCAAGGCGACGAUGCGUAGCCGACCUGAGAGGGUGAUCGGCCACACUGGGACUGAGACACGGCCCAGACUCCUACGGGAGGCAGCAGUAGGGAAUCUUCCGCAAUGGACGAAAGUCUGACGGAGCAACGCCGCGUGAGUGAUGAAGGUUUUCGGAUCGUAAAGCUCUGUUGUUAGGGAAGAACAAGUACCGUUCGAAUAGGGCGGUACCUUGACGGUACCUAACCAGAAAGCCACGGCUAACUACGUGCCAGCAGCCGCGGUAAUACGUAGGUGGCAAGCGUUGUCCGGAAUUAUUGGGCGUAAAGGGCUCGCAGGCGGUUUCUUAAGUCUGAUGUGAAAGCCCCCGGCUCAACCGGGGAGGGUCAUUGGAAACUGGGGAACUUGAGUGCAGAAGAGGAGAGUGGAAUUCCACGUGUAGCGGUGAAAUGCGUAGAGAUGUGGAGGAACACCAGUGGCGAAGGCGACUCUCUGGUCUGUAACUGACGCUGAGGAGCGAAAGCGUGGGGAGCGAACAGGAUUAGAUACCCUGGUAGUCCACGCCGUAAACGAUGAGUGCUAAGUGUUAGGGGGUUUCCGCCCCUUAGUGCUGCAGCUAACGCAUUAAGCACUCCGCCUGGGGAGUACGGUCGCAAGACUGAAACUCAAAGGAAUUGACGGGGGCCCGCACAAGCGGUGGAGCAUGUGGUUUAAUUCGAAGCAACGCGAAGAACCUUACCAGGUCUUGACAUCCUCUGACAAUCCUAGAGAUAGGACGUCCCCUUCGGGGGCAGAGUGACAGGUGGUGCAUGGUUGUCGUCAGCUCGUGUCGUGAGAUGUUGGGUUAAGUCCCGCAACGAGCGCAACCCUUGAUCUUAGUUGCCAGCAUUCAGUUGGGCACUCUAAGGUGACUGCCGGUGACAACCGGAGGAAGGUGGGGAUGACGUCAAAUCAUCAUGCCCCUUAUGACCGGGCUACCCACGGGCUAAAUGGAAGAAACAAGGGGGCGAAACCCCGAGGUUAACCAUCCCCCAAAUUUGUUUCCAUUCGGAUCCAAAUUGCAACUCACGGGGGAAGUGGAAUCCUUUAAUCCGGAUCCAUGCGCCGGGAAAAAUUCCCGGCCUUGUC